This 253-nucleotide ribosomal RNA is filed under the name uncultured bacterium. RNAcentral's name for it is "partial 16S ribosomal RNA". It matches the Rfam family "Bacterial small subunit ribosomal RNA", at positions 524 to 776 of the family's 1533-position model. The record is from RNAcentral.
UACGAAGGGUGCAAACGUUGCUCGGAAUUACUGGGCGUAAAGCGUGCGUAGGUGGUGAGUUAAGUCUGUCGUGAAAGCCCCGGGCUCAACCUGGGAAUGGCGAUGGAUACUGGCUCGCUAGAGUGCGGUAGAGGAGAGUGGAAUUCCCGGUGUAGCAGUGAAAUGCGUAGAGAUCGGGAGGAACAUCAGUUGCGAAGGCGGCUCUCUGGACCAGCACUGACACUGAGGCACGAAAGCGUGGGGAGCAAACAGG